This 234-nucleotide long non-coding RNA is filed under the name Carica papaya (papaya). RNAcentral's name for it is "long non-coding RNA (CPAP_LNC000242)". The record is from RNAcentral. Lineage: Eukaryota; Viridiplantae; Streptophyta; Magnoliopsida; Brassicales; Caricaceae.
UAGCAGGGUCAGUCCCCAUGAUCCCUGCCGCAGUACUGGCAGAUCUUCCCACGUGCUGCCCCCAUAGCCUGAGGAGGGGCCUGGACGGCAGGUCUGGGCCUCUUACUGGGUUGGACAAGCAUGGUAGGCGCUGGCCUGCGGAGCGGGGCUGAGGGUCGGGAACUUCCCGCUAGCUGAGGGCGGGUGUCGAAGCUCAUUUCUAUGAUCUGCACCUUUGCCAAGACUGCCGAAUAU